RNAcentral lists this ribosomal RNA (3492 nucleotides) under Triticum aestivum (bread wheat). RNAcentral describes it as "partial small subunit ribosomal RNA". Lineage: Eukaryota; Viridiplantae; Streptophyta; Magnoliopsida; Poales; Poaceae. The record is from RNAcentral.
AUGACAUUCCUCAUCGGCGUCCCCGUGCCAGCCAUGCCAGUGGCCAUGGAUCGCAUGCUCCUCCUCGCCGCCUUCCUCCUCCUCUCGUCGACUUGCACGACGACGACCGUGUCCGCGGGAACCGGCGACGACGCGGGGGCGCUCCUCCGCUUCAAGGCGUCCGUCCACAAGGACCCUAGGGGCGUGCUCUCGUCUUGGCAAUGGCAGCAGCAGCAGCAGCCAGGGACGCCGGGCGGUGGUGGUAGUGGUAAUGGCACGUGGUGCAGGUGGUACGGAGUGACGUGCGACGACGAGGGGCGGGUGGAGCGGCUCGACCUCGCCGGCUGCGGCCUCUCCGGGCGCGCCUCGUUUGCAGCGCUGGCCUCCAUUGACACGCUGCGCCACCUCAACCUCUCCGGCAACGCCCAGCUCCGCGCCGACGCCGCUGGGGACAUUCCCAUGCUCCCCCGUGCGCUGCAGACGCUCGACCUGUCCGACGGCGGCCUCGCCGGCGGCCUCCCCGACGACAUGCAGCUGGCGCACUACUACCCCAACCUCACCGACGUCCGCCUCGCGCGGAACAACCUCACCGGCGCUCUCCCUCUUAAGCUACUGGCGCCUAGCACGAUCCAGGUGUUCGACGUCGCCGGGAACAACAUGUCCGGGGACGUCUCCAGCGCGUCGUUUCCCGACACGCUGGUCCUGCUCGACCUCUCCGCCAACCGUUUCACCGGCACGAUCCCGCCGUCCUUCUCCGGCUGCCCCGGCCUCAAGACGCUCAACGUGUCGUACAACGCCCUCGCCGGCGCGAUUCCAGAGUCGAUCGGCGACAUCGCUGGCCUCGAGGUGCUCGACGUCUCGGAGAACCGCCUCACCGGCGCCAUCCCACGCAGCCUCGCCGCGUGCUCGUCGCUGCGGAUCCUCAGAGUCUCGAGCAACAACAUCUCCGGCUCUAUCCCGGAGUCCCUGUCGUCGUGCCGCGCGCUCCAGCUGCUCGACGCGGCCAACAACAACAUCUCCGGCGUGAUCCCGGCCGCGGUGCUCGGGAACCUCACGAAGAUGGAGAUCCUGCUUCUCAGCAACAACUUCAUCUCGGGAUCGCUCCCGAGCACCAUCUCUGCCUGCAACAACCUCAGGGUCGCCGACUUCAGCAGCAACAAGAUCGGCGGUGCGCUGCCCGCCGAGCUCUGCACGCGCGGCGCGGCGCUGGAGGAGCUCCGGAUGCCGGACAACCUCCUCACCGGCGCGAUCCCUCCCGGUCUGGCCAACUGCUCGCGCCUGCGGGUGAUCGACUUCAGCAUCAAUUACCUGCGCGGCCCGAUCCCGGCGGAGCUCGGCAUGCUCCGUGCCCUGGAGCAGCUCGUGACGUGGCUCAACCAGCUAGAAGGCCAGAUCCCCGCGGAGCUCGGGAAAUGCCGGAGCCUCCGCACGCUCAUCCUCAACAACAACUUCAUCGGCGGCGACAUCCCCGUCGAGCUCUUCAACUGCACCGGCCUCGAGUGGAUUUCGCUGACGAGCAACCGGAUCAGCGGCACGAUCAGGCCGGAGUUCGGCCGGCUGUCCCGGCUCGCCGUGCUGCAGCUGGCGAACAAUAGCCUCGUGGGCGACAUCCCCAAGGAGCUCGGCAACUGCAGCAGCCUGAUGUGGCUGGACCUCAACAGCAACAGACUCACCGGCGUGAUCCCGCACCGCCUCGGCCGGCAGCUCGGGGCGACGCCGCUGAGCGGCAUCCUGUCAGGCAACACGCUGGCGUUCGUCCGCAACGCUGGGAACGCGUGCAAGGGCGUGGGUGGGCUGCUGGAGUUCGCCGGCAUCCGGCCGGAGCGGCUGCUGCAGGUGCCCACCCUCAGGAGCUGCGACUUCACGCGGCUCUACUCCGGCGCGGCGGUGAGCGGGUGGACGCGGUACCAGACGCUGGAGUACCUGGAUCUCUCGUACAACAGCCUCGUCGGCGCCAUCCCGGAGGAGCUGGGCGACAUGGUGCUGCUCCAGGUGCUCGACCUGGCGAGGAACAACCUCAGCGGCGAGAUCCCGGCGUCGCUCGGCCGCCUCCACGACCUCGGCGUGUUCGACGUGUCGCACAACCGGCUGCAGGGCAGCAUCCCGGACUCCUUCUCCAACCUCUCCUUCCUCGUGCAGAUCGACGUCUCCGACAACGACCUCGCCGGCGAGAUACCGCAGCGCGGGCAGCUCAGCACGCUGCCGGCGAGCCAGUACGCCGACAACCCUGGCCUAUGCGGCAUGCCGCUGGUGCCGUGCAGCGACCGGCUGCCGAGGGCGAGCAUCGCAGCCUCCUCCGGCGCCGCAGCUGAAAGUAGUAACGCCAGGUGGCCUCUGCCGAGGGCGGCGUGGGCGAACGCCGUGCUCCUGGCCGUGAUGGUCACCGCCGGGCUGGCGUGCGCGGUGACGAUCUGGGCGGUGGCGGUGCGCGUGCGGCGGCGGGAGGUGCGGGAGGCGCGGAUGCUGAGCAGCCUGCAGGACGGGACGCGGACGGCGACGACGUGGAAGCUGGGCAAGGCGGAGAAGGAGGCGCUGAGCAUCAACGUGGCCACCUUCCAGCGGCAGCUCCGGAAGAUCACCUUCACGCAGCUGAUCGAGGCCACCAACGGCUUCUCGGCCGCCAGCCUGAUCGGCUCCGGCGGGUUCGGGGAGGUGUUCAAGGCGACGCUCAAGGACGGCUCCACCGUGGCCAUCAAGAAGCUGAUCCCGCUGAGCCACCAGGGCGACCGCGAGUUCAUGGCGGAGAUGGAGACGCUGGGCAAGAUCAAGCACCGGAACCUCGUGCCCCUGCUGGGCUACUGCAAGAUCGGCGAGGAGCGGCUGCUGGUGUACGAGUACAUGACCCACGGCAGCCUGGAGGACAUGCUCCACCUCCCGGCCGACGGCGCGCCGGCGCUGACGUGGGAGAGGAGGAAGACGGUGGCGCGCGGGGCGGCCAAGGGGCUCUGCUUCCUGCACCACAACUGCAUCCCGCACAUCAUCCACCGCGACAUGAAGUCCAGCAACGUGCUCCUCGACGGCAUGAUGGAGGCCCGCGUCGCCGACUUCGGCAUGGCCAGGCUCAUCAGCGCGCUGGACACGCACCUCAGCGUCAGCACCCUCGCCGGGACCCCCGGGUACGUGCCGCCGGAGUACUACCAGAGCUUCCGCUGCACCGCCAAGGGCGACGUCUACUCCCUCGGCGUGGUGCUGCUGGAGCUGCUCACCGGGCGGCGGCCCACCGACAAGGAGGACUUCGGCGACACCAACCUCGUCGGCUGGGUCAAGAUGAAGGUCAGGGAGGGCGCCGGGAAGGAGGUCGUGGACCCGGAGCUCGUCGCGGCCGCGGCCGGCGACGAGGAGACGGAGAUGAUGAGGUUCCUGGAGAUGGCGCUGCAGUGCGUGGACGACUUCCCGUCGAAGCGGCCCAACAUGCUGCACGUGGUCGCCGUGCUCAGAGAGAUCGACGCGCCGUCGUCGCAGCCUCCAUUACCGGCGGCAGGUGCGUGCAAUGGUCAUGGCCAGGACGCGUAG